RNAcentral lists this ribosomal RNA (253 nucleotides) under uncultured bacterium. Its description in RNAcentral is "partial 16S ribosomal RNA". It matches the Rfam family "Bacterial small subunit ribosomal RNA", at positions 524 to 776 of the family's 1533-position model. The record is from RNAcentral.
UACGUAGGGUGCGAGCGUUAAUCGGAAUUACUGGGCGUAAAGCGUGCGCAGGCGGUUUUAUAAGCCAGAUGUGAAAGCCCCGGGCUCAACCUGGGAAUGGCAUUUGGGACUGUAAGGCUGGAGUAUGGCAGAGGGGACUAGAAUUCCUGGUGUAGCAGUGAAAUGCGUAGAUAUCAGGAGGAAUACCGAUGGCGAAGGCAGGUCCCUGGGCCAAUACUGACGCUCAUGCACGAAAGCGUGGGGAGCAAACAGG